ACACUCCUGCGGGAGACAGCAGUGAGGAAUAUUGGACAAUGGGUGGAAGCCUGAUCCAGCCAUCCCGCGUGCAGGAAGACGGCCCUAUGGGUUGUAAACUGCUUUUAUCUGGGGAUAAACCUACUUACGUGUAAGUAGCUGAAGGUACCAGAAGAAUAAGCACCGGCUAACUCCGUGCCAGCAGCCGCGGUAAUACGGAGGGUGCAAGCGUUAUCCGGAUUUAUUGGGUUUAAAGGGUCCGUAGGCGGACUGAUAAGUCAGUGGUGAAAUCCGACAGCUUAACUGUCGAACUGCCAUUGAUACUGUUAGUCUUGAGUAAGGUUGAAGUGGCUGGAAUAAGUAGUGUAGCGGUGAAAUGCAUAGAUAUUACUUAGAACACCAAUUGCGAAGGCAGGUCACUAAGUCUUAACUGACGCUGAUGGACGAAAGCGUGGGGAGCGAACAGGAUUAGAAACCCUUGUAGUCCCAUG
This 470-nucleotide ribosomal RNA is filed under the name uncultured organism. RNAcentral's name for it is "partial 16S ribosomal RNA". It matches the Rfam family "Bacterial small subunit ribosomal RNA", at positions 333 to 799 of the family's 1533-position model. The record is from RNAcentral.